This is a long non-coding RNA of Anas platyrhynchos (mallard), 4985 nucleotides long. RefSeq lists it as uncharacterized. NCBI's taxonomy places the organism in Eukaryota, Metazoa, Chordata, Aves, Anseriformes, Anatidae. The record is from RefSeq and is a predicted model, not a curated record.
CACAAACACAUCCAGAAGCUACAAAUCCCAGAGAAGUUUAGAAGCACAUUUCUGCUUUCUUCUUAUAACUUUUUCUCUCUUCACUGUUUGUGCCUAAAUAUGACUGAUUUUGAAUGAAUGGUCCAAAAUCAGCGGCAGAAGACCCCCUUGGAGCAGCACGGAGAAUCUGGCUCUCCCGUCCUGCCCUUCGGGGCUGGAUGUGAACCACAUUUAAGCAAAGCAGGGCGGCUCACCCACCCCGCAGGCAGCCCCGGUCUGCAGCUCUGGGGAGGGCUGAAUGCCUCAUUCAUCUCAGUCUUAACUCUGAGGCCUACAGAUGAUAUUUUAAGGAAGAAUUUUGCAGGUAAUCAGCCUUGGUUCGAUACACUGCCAAGUAAAAAUAAGGAUUUGUUGACGGAUGCAGGGGAACGUCUCGCAGUGCUGAAUGCGCCAAGGACUCCACCUUCACACGGCAGCCCUGGAGCAAAACCGAUUUUCGUGCCUGCACAGAGUAUCGCUUCCAUAAGAAGGUGCAUCCUUCCAUUUGGAGACAAAAACAUUUAUUUUUUACGUUCCUCUGCUUCUCCUUCCACUGCUUUCAUCCUGAGCAUGGGCGACCUCCACCCCGUCAGCAGGUGAGGCAGUUUCCGUGCAGGCACAGCGCUGCGCUUCCUCCCCCCGCACCGCGCUCCUGCCAUUAACAGGUGGCGAAUGAAGCUGGCUUCACUCAUAUGUUUUGCAUCAAUUUGCAUCAUCUACUACAAAGCUAUUACAAAUGAAUCUGUCAAGCCUCGCUGGCACCUCUCAGGAUAAAUGAUGCGGAUCGGGAGCCGGUGCCCACCGCGCCAUCCACCAGCGCCUUCAGCCUGAGGAAUGUCUCCGCAAACAUCUGUUGGAGCUCGAGGAGAGAUGGCAGAAGGGGGAAGGGCAAAUCCCCAGUAAUGGAUGUUCUUGGAGUUUUUGGGAGCUCGGUAGGAGAGAGGAAGUGGGGCAGUCGCUCAUCACUCGAGCCAGCUCGGAGAAAGAGCUGGCCAGACAAACCCUGAGGAUGGAGGGAGCUGCUGGACCGUUCAUGGGAUCAGGAUGCUGCUUGGAGCAGGACCACUGCAGGGGCUAGGUUUAUUGGAGAGCGUUUGCCAAGAGCGUUUUUCGCUGGGCGCAGCUGGGAAGGACAGACGCGGAUCUGUGCGGGUGUCCAAGAGGAUGGCGUUCCCUGCAGUGCUGCUGACAGCGAGGGGGCUGAGACGACUUCAUCUCUUCAAAGGCAGCUCUUUUGCUGGAGUAACACUUUCUUCAGUUGGAAAAUGGUGAAAAUAAAGUCAGAAAGAGGGUGAUCAGGAUCUUCACCAUACCAGGCUUCAUGGUGGUGUGUUUCUGUCUCCUCAAUCCAUGCAAUGGCAGCUGUUGUGAAGCCCUGACCUGUGUCACUUAUGUUUCAGCUGGAAACUCGCAACGGUGACCUCAAGCCUACUGAAAUAUCCAUCAGCCCCUGCUUUGGGCUAUCAGAGCAGUUCAUUUUUGGGUGUGUAGGCAGCUGAGACAAGUUAGGGUUCUCCCACCUACAGCCAUACCCUAGAGCCACUUCUGCCCUUUUCAUCUUUAAGUCCUAGGUAAUGAAAAUAAAUAUUUCGAGGUCUAUAAUAAUGACACGGAAUGGGAUGUUUUGAUCAUAUUAAUUGCUCAGGCUGUUGCAAUACUGGAUCACAAAUCAAUGUUUCCCCAGUGGCUGGCUCAGCCUCCCCGUGCACGUUUAAACAGAUGUGACCUUGAUGAGGAGAGAUACUGGGGGCUCGAGGCAAGCUUGCAAGACAGAUGAAUGUGCUCUGGCAGAUUUAUGAGGAGUUAUUCCUCGGUGUAGAAAAGUCCAUCUUCUUUCACCUAAACGCUCCUCCAAAAGUGACUUUUCCUGUGUACAAAGCACGAGCAGUCUGCAAAGCUAGUGACAAUGUCAGGAGGUCUUUAAGGAAAAAUGUUUCCUUGGGUUAGAGCACAGGGGCAGCAAAGCGAGAACAGAGGUGUGAUUCAUUCAGAACAAGGUGUCCUCGUUCAUUUAUAGCUCUCCACGUAAAGGAUAUCCUGCUCGGACAAUGUGGGCACUUUCUUUUAAUCUGUCCUUGCAUCACAAGAGAUCUUGGGUUUCUUCCUGUGCAACUGAGACUCUUUCAUUUAGUGUCACCUUCUGUCAUGCCAAGAAAACCCACAGCAGCCUGUGGGGUUGAAAGGGGUGUCUGUAAACACGUGUUUACUGAAACUGCUGGUAAACCAGCCUCUGAGUCAUCCUCUCCUCGGGCUGUGUGUUUCAAUUCUUCCUCGUCUCAGGCAAUAACAUCAGGCUCUCGCUAGUUCCUGAUAAAAUUAGGGAUUAAAUGCUCAAAUACCGUGUGUAUGCAUGAGAGAGGGCAAGAUAGAGGUAGGAGGUCUGCUUGGGGUGAAAAUGCUUUGCCUCUUUAACCUUCUGAAAAGAAACAGCUGAAGUAACUUAGUAAAUACUAAUAACAGGCCUAAGGAUGAUGUAUUUAAAACCUUUAAUUAGCAUCAGUGCUGCCUGGGACCUAUCUGCUCCUUGUUGACUUAGGAAGGGCCACGUGCUGAACAGGACGUGUUCUGCUGCAUCCACCCUGCAGUCCCUGCCCCUGGGAGCCUCUUGCAGCUGCAUCUCAUGAUGCCAGAGCCAAUCCUCUGGAUUCAAACCUGGGAUGACUUUGCCUCUCGGACUUGUCUGGACUUAUUCCUGUUUGAACCACAGUAUGGAAAAGCAUCCCAUCCUGACCUCAAAAUUUCUAGCAAUGGAAAAGUCUACCAUAACUUCUGCAACUACCAGAAUUUCUUUUCUCUGGCUGACAUUAAUUUACCUUGAUUUGAAAUCUGGGCAGUCCAUUCCCUUGAUCCUGUGGAAGCCUUCUCCAUGUGCUGAUUCCACUGUGCCAUCGUUAGAAACAGCGUGACUUGUGCAGCAGGUAGCUCGGCAAGAGUCAGAUCAAGGUAGCACGUUAGGCAGGGUAACUUCAUGAAUUCACCUUUUUUGGCUUUAAACUGAAAAUAUCCCCAGUUAGCACCUUUUCUGCUUGUGAAGGAUAUGUAGUCCCCAAAAGGUUGCAAGUUCAUCAAGCAGGGGUGCUCGCUGCUAGCGACACAGUCCUUCCUUACCAUCACUGUGCCUUGGGUUUGUGAAAGUUUAAUUAUCAAAGCAAUCAUUUGUCCAGUGUUGAAAAGCUGCGAGGAAAGAAAGAAAAGUCAAUAUGUUUGACCUCACUUCUGGGAGAGAAACUCCUGGGAGCCAUUACAAGUCAACUGUGGAAGAAUCAACACACUGAUUUUAAUGGAUGAGUCUGAAACAAAUUCUUUCCAAGAGCCAACAUUCUUCUGUUCUCCAGCUCGCACCCGAAUGAGCAGAGAUUUGAGAUGGUCCUCUGCCUCCUCGUGUGUCUGAGGACAGAGCAAGGGGAUAAGUGGAAAAUAAUUUAUCUGACCUUAAGGGAAAUGAAGUUUGUCAGGAUUUCCUCACAGUUGCAAAACCAGCAGUGAGAUAUUCAAAUGUGGCCAGACGUGACACGCUCAUUUUUCUCACUUAGGUCCUGGUUCUGGCAAACAUCUUGGGAAAGCACUUCAGUAUGUGCUGACGCUUAGACCUGGGUGCAAACCCCGUGCAGACCAGUGAAACUCAAGCACGUGCUUACAGAUAAGCAUGAAUGCACUCAAGUGCUGUCCUGAUUAGGGCAUGUGCUUAAGUGGCUCCUUGAGUUGGAGCCUCUGGCUUUGAACAGGCACUCCUAUUCUUCGUGUGUUAUGCAGAAGGAACUAACCAAAUACGAGCUUGUUUUCUGUAGCACUGACCAGAACCACCUCAAGCGCCAGGGCAGCAGACAUAAGCAGGAAAAUUGACUCUGAUCAUCCCUGGGGUCAUUUAACUAAAACACACAUUUCAGUCGAGCCAAGUGUUCGCCAGCGCUUUUCAACUCCCCUGGUGUCAAAACAAUUAGCAGAUCACAGCAGCAGCGAUUCGCUGGUGCUCCAAUAAAAGCAUCUGGCCAGCACAUGGGUAUCUGACACCAGCUCCUAAGCUCCUCCACGCACCGUCCGCUGCCUGCAGGACAACACGGCGUGGGUGACUCUUGUAUCUAAGGACAGAUUAUGCCAUUCAGCUUUUCAACCAUUUGAGAAAAGAUUAUUGCCUUAAUUCCUAGUGUGUCUAAAAUGAGGUGGGGAGCGUUGCUUCGGGCGCUGUUUGCAGGGCACUGCAUGAGCUCUCACAUCUGUGUUUUCAACACAAGCUGCAGAAUCCCCAAUAUGAAUUGGCACUGUUCAAGCUAGAACCCUGCAAGAGGCACGUAAACCUACUUUUAACGGGUUACCUCAGAUUUAAUCAACAAGUUGCUGCUUCUUUUUUUUCCCCUCCUCUCUAAUAGCAAGAAUUCCUCCCGUUAGCUGUACUCCCAUCCCACCUUGGCUACUCCAGUACACAGAAUGUGAUACUGAAGAAAACUUUUGUCUGGAUGAAAUUGUAGCUGUCUGGUUGGGAAUAUACAAGUGUAUGCUGACCAGCCUUUACAAGGCAUAGGGAAACAGAGUCAGCCUGUGUGGGUGAAAGUUUGGGGACUCAUUUAUGCUCUUGACAUUCUGAUACAAAACCAGAAAAAACAGCGGUUUGGUAAUGUGUGUAUCCCAGAGCAGCUGUGGCACUGUCUGAGCUGCUGCUGUCCUCCAAAUAUCAUUCCUAUCGGAAAGAAAUAGGCUACUUACAUCUACUUACACCAGUGCAUUUCUUUGAUGCUCCCAUGAUUUACAAACAGGGACGGAGUGAGCCCCCCUGCACGCACCUUCUGUUGGCUGCUGGUGGCUUUGGUUUGUUGUUCUCAUCUCCAAACGGGAUGGAGGCUGCAAAUAUCCUCCAGCAUCUCCUGCCAAGCAGUCUGUGAGAGAGGCCAAGCAGACAGCAGAUCUUCUGAAAUAUAGCCUAAAAAGCUGAGCUGCAAAUACUUACCCAGCAAGAAUAGGACACAGAUAGA